This 1021-nucleotide long non-coding RNA is filed under the name Hordeum vulgare. RNAcentral's name for it is "long non-coding RNA (HVUL_LNC020123)". Lineage: Eukaryota; Viridiplantae; Streptophyta; Magnoliopsida; Poales; Poaceae. The record is from RNAcentral.
GGUGACGGCCCCCGACGUCAAGUCGAUGCAGAUCCACCACGAGGCGCGCCACCCCAAGCUCCCCUUCGACCCGGACAAGAUCAACAACCUGCACGGCUCCACCGCCGCCGCCGCGCCCGCCGCAGCGGCCGCCGUCGCGUCCUCCUCCAAGCCCAAGCCCGGCGUCCGCGGCAGCCUCAAGAAGACGGGGUAAUCUAAACCCCCUCCUCUCACACCCUCUACAGUCCGAUCUGCCUUGGUCGUCGCCUGCAUCUGCUGUCUUAAGUUUACUAUAUAUACUGCCGCUGAUGCUGCUGCUGCUGCUGCUCUAAAAUACUGAUGCUGUUGCUGCUGCUGCUGCUGAUGCGUGUGGUGUGUCGUGUGAUGGACGCGUGAAUUUUUCUUCCCCCUGUAUACCCUGAGGCCGUGUCCUCGUUGCCAUGUUUAAUUACCUGUUGCUACUCUUAAAGAUGCUGGUAAAUUGUUUGCUGAUAUUAAUGUCUAGUGGCGCGCAAGCGAUCUGAAAGAUCUGCUGUCGAUCCAGUUCCUCCAAUUGGCCGCUAAAGUGCAUGAGUCGGGGAUUUGCGCUUGUGUUUUCCUAGUGUCCUCGGUGCGCCAUAAGAAGUGUUUUUCCUCGUCGAUUCUUUGCUAUUGAUGAAGUUUGUCCCUUUUUUAGCAAGGGGACGACAUAGAUUUCAUACACAAAUCCUUUAUUUAGAAUGCUCGCCCCUCCUUAUUCUUUGUUCCAUGCUGCUCCUUAUGCCAUGCUCAUUAUGCAUCAUCGAUCGAUCGGUCAGAAUUGGUCUCUUGGGAGUAUGGUUCAUACUCCUGGUGGUACCACUGGCAGCCUGGCUGCCCUCAGUUUGAUGAUGAAUGAAUGUGUCAUUGCAGCGAUGAACAGAAAUGAGGCCUCCAAAGCUUCAAGCGCCUCUUCGCAGUUGGUUAUGACUACUAUGUCAGUUUCAUCGGUCGUUUUAAGAUAUUUGGUUGUCUUGUAAUCGGAUAUAUUAUGCGCUCCAGAACAUCUGGGAUGAGUUAAACC